UUAGAUAUUUGUGACUAUAAAUUAAAUUCCCUUUUUUUUUUUUAUUCAAUAACAUACAUAAAAAAAAAAUUACAAUCACACACACAUCUCCUUUUUUAUUAUUUAUCACUUUCUCUUUUCUUUUCUUUUUCUUUUACAUCUACAUUUACAUAAUACAAAUAAAAAAUUCAGAAUCAAAUAAAAAAAAUUACAUCAAACAAAUUUUAAAUUACAAAAAAAAAAGCCCCUAAACAAUCUAGAAAUAACAGGGAUAGCCUUCAGCAGCCGGAACAGUGUUCAACAAAUUUUCUGGGCGCAGGAACAGUGACGACGCGUGGAUCCCACGCACCACCGCCACUGGCGGCGCGUGGGACCACGCGCCGCCGUGAAAAACAACCCGAAACAGGGGGGGUCUGCAACGACCUCCUCCCCCUUUCUUUCCUCGCCGGCGCCGACCUGCAAUAACAAUAAAAAACCUAACAAAGCAGUCGAUUUUAAUUUUUUCUUAGUUUUUUUUCAGAUCUGUUUUUUCUUCUUCUUCUCCAUAUCUGCUUCGGAUUUUGCUUCUUCUUGUCCGAUCUGGCUUCUCCUUCUCUGUUUUAGGCGACGGACGGCGCUGCUGGAGGCCGAUCUGGUUUGUGGCGGCGUUGAUGAUCACGGGUCUGCGGGGAGAAGCAGCGGCUGGGAUGGGUCGGCCAGGAGGGGGUCGGUUCGGUUUCCGUGGACGGUCUGGCCCCUCGUCUGGUCCUUGUCCGGCGUGAGGCUGAGCUCGGGCUGUUGAAGCUACGGUGGAGUUGGCAUGGCCGCUGGUCUGCGGGGAGAAGAUCAGGAAGAAGACAACGGGGAUGGAGAGGGACGGCGCCGCUGGGUUCUUCGGGUGGCAGAGGGGAUGGUCCGGGGGGAAGGAGGAAAAACAAAAUCAGAGGUAGGGGAUCGUCCGGGUUCGGUGAGAAAAAGGGAAAAAAAAUUUGAUGAGAGGUUGCUGUCCUUGGUGAUCGGCUGGGGCGAAGUUGAAGAAGAAAAGAAAAAAAAAAAUCUUUGGAGAGGGCUGUCGGCUGUGUUAUGGUCGGUUGAGGGGGGGAGCCUGGCCACCGGUUGGAGAAAAAAAAUCAAGGUGGGGGAGCUGGCGGCUGACUCCUUGAGAGGAGAAAAAAAUUAAGCUUCUAGGGUUUCUGAUUUUGUGUUCCUUCCCUCUAAAAUUACC
Molecule: long non-coding RNA, 1183 nt
Filed under: Populus tremula
Lineage: Eukaryota; Viridiplantae; Streptophyta; Magnoliopsida; Malpighiales; Salicaceae
Description: long non-coding RNA (PTRE_LNC000246)
Source: RNAcentral